GGGGUAUUAGUUUAAUGGUAAAACAUAAUGCUACGGACAUUAAGAUUCUAGUUCAAAUCUAUAAUACCUCU
Molecule: transfer RNA, 71 nt
Filed under: Hirsutella vermicola
Lineage: Eukaryota; Fungi; Ascomycota; Sordariomycetes; Hypocreales; Ophiocordycipitaceae
Description: tRNA-Arg
Rfam family: tRNA
About the family: Transfer RNA (tRNA) molecules are approximately 80 nucleotides in length. Their secondary structure includes four short double-helical elements and three loops (D, anti-codon, and T loops).
Source: RNAcentral